Molecule: transfer RNA, 89 nt
Filed under: Pseudomonadota bacterium
Lineage: Bacteria; Pseudomonadati; Pseudomonadota
Also listed under: 1 other name
Description: tRNA-Ser
Rfam family: tRNA
About the family: Transfer RNA (tRNA) molecules are approximately 80 nucleotides in length. Their secondary structure includes four short double-helical elements and three loops (D, anti-codon, and T loops). Further hydrogen bonds mediate the characteristic L-shaped molecular structure. tRNAs have two regions of fundamental functional importance: the anti-codon, which is responsible for specific mRNA codon recognition, and the 3' end, to which the tRNAs corresponding amino acid is attached (by aminoacyl-tRNA synthetases). tRNAs cope with the degeneracy of the genetic code in two manners: having more than one tRNA (with a specific anti-codon) for a particular amino acid; and 'wobble' base-pairing, i.e. permitting non-standard base-pairing at the 3rd anti-codon position.
Source: RNAcentral
GGAGGAGUUCGGGAGCCCGGUACCCGGACGGUCUCGAAAACCGUUGGGCGCAUCGCGCCUCGUGGGUUCAAAUCCCACCUCCUCCGCCA